CAUCGUUAAAAUUGGUUUUUAGGAGCACAAGGGACCAAGCCUGAGGAGGCAUCAGGUGUUGAAAAGCUAAUUCACAGCUCCCCAGCUGCCUACUUGUGGGGACAGCUUUCUUCGGCUGCAGGCAGUAAUUGCUUUACUGCUAUCCUAAAUUGCCCUGGAGAAGAAAGCAAAGCUUUGCUUGCUUUAUCCUGUGGAUUUAAAGCAGUGCCUAUACUUGCUCUGCAUAGAAGAGAACUUCUCCUACAGAUAUUUUUAUUCUAAUCCACGCAACACAUUCCAGUUGAAACA
RNAcentral lists this long non-coding RNA (288 nucleotides) under Homo sapiens (human). RNAcentral's name for it is "HSALNT0064703". Lineage: Eukaryota; Metazoa; Chordata; Mammalia; Primates; Hominidae. The record is from RNAcentral.